Molecule: ribosomal RNA, 503 nt
Filed under: uncultured bacterium
Lineage: Bacteria
Description: bacterial SSU rRNA
Rfam family: Bacterial small subunit ribosomal RNA
Source: RNAcentral
AAAGGAAUAGACGGGGGCUCACACAAGCGGUGGAGGAUGUGGCUUAAUUCGAGGCUACGCGAAGAACCUUAUCCUAGGCUUGACAUGCAUGGAUACCCUCCCUGAAAGGGGAGUAAGUUGCUAGCAAUAGUGAAACUUGCACAGGUGCUGCAUGGCUGUCGUCAGCUCGUGUCGUGAGACGUCGGGUUAAGUCCCUUAACGAGCGAAACCCCUGUCGUUAGUUGCCAGCGAUUCGGUCGGGUACUCUAACGAGACUGCCUAAGUUAAUGCGGAGGAAGGCGGGGACGACGUCAAGUCCUCAUGGCCCUUACGCCUAGGGCUGCACACGUCCUACAAUGGAUUCCACAAAGGGAAGCGAGACCGCGAGGUUUAGCAAAUCCCCAAAAAGGAUCCUCAGUUCGGAUUGUAGUCUGCAACUCGACUACAUGAAGCCGGAAUCGCUAGUAAUCGCGGGUCAGCAUACCGCGGUGAAUGUGUUCCUGAGCCUUGUACACACCGCCCGU